CCAGACUUUGGUGUUCUGGAAGGCUGUGGGAUGGAGGUGAUCAAGGCGUCUUUAAGGACUCACACUUCCCUGCUGUGUGAUGUUGUAAGGCUGGUUGAUAUUGUAUCAUUUGUUUUUACUGCUGUUUAGAGUUUUUGUCCCAUACACAUUAUUCCAAAAAUAGAUUGUACUAUAUUUUAGGCCAUUUGAAUUUAAUCAACAAGCAUCUUCUCACUGACAUGUCUGUAGUUUUAUUGUUUCUGGCCAGGACAAGGAUGCCUGAAGACAGUUUUCUGAAGACCAAUUUCUCUGAUCUUUUUGAUGUUAAACCAAGGGACUCUGCUCCCAGAUGGUGAUUUAUAACUUUAAUGAGAUGUUCUUGACCACUUUGUGGUUACAAGGGAACACAUAGAACCUCAGAGAAGCAAUCGUUCCUAGUAGUCAAGGUGGAGUCAUACUAUUCCCUCUAACCUCGCUAGGAUCCUAAUAGGAUUCAGAAUGGUCACAUAUUCUGUGCUGUCUCAGGAUUACCCAACAUGACAUAAUCAUUUCAUAACUUGGUAGGACUGGUGGCAGGAUUAAAUCUUCCAUACUAUGGCCCAUUUCAGAUUAUUUGACCUGUUGAAACUCCAAGGACAUUGUAGGCUCUCCUUCUUGUGUCCCAACAGGACUAAGAUCAAAAGCAUGUAUGUUAUUUUUUCCUAGAGUGUUUGUUUAGCAAUGCCUUAUAUUGAGAUGCUGCUGUCUAAAGAACAAGAGGAGGUUCAGGAACACUAACAACUGUUACUCAUAGUUGUAUAUCCCAUGCUCUCUGUCCUCCCCAUUGUGAAAGCCAUGCCACCUAUCCCUGGGCAAUAAGAGCCCGUUCUUUCUAACUUCUUGUGGGUGCUCACCCAAGCUUUGGGCUCAGAUUUAAACAUGCCCAGGGGACACUGCCUUUUUAGGUACAUGCCAUAAUUAGGAAAAGAGUAUCACUUUUUGGAUUCUGGAGCUCACCCCAUUUGGUGGUGAGUUUGGGGAGCAUUGACAGUGCUCAUUGUUCAUUCAUUGAUCAUUCAUUCAUUCAUUCACACUUCCAUCCAGUCUUCCCUCACAUAGUUAUUGAGUGCCCAGUGUGUGCCAUGUGCUAAGCUGGGUACUAGGCAUUCAGUGGUGAAGGCAUGGUCUCAAGGAGGGGCUUCUGUCUCAAUAUAGAAGCUCAAGGAAUUCCAGGGUGUUAGUUACUGCUAAGAGUCUGUAGGGGUUCAAGGGGCCCCAUUAAGUUUGAAAAACUCUGGACCUUCAUUGGCCUCCAAUGAAGAGCCAGGUCCUCAAAGGCCACUGUCAGUGCUCUCUAGAUGAGUACUACGCACGAGGAGGGGCCAAGGGUGGGGCCCUCUGAAGGCUGUGUCAUCCUGGGCUCCAGCCACAGAGGUUUCAUCACAGAGGGAAGCUGAGCUCUGAGCACGUUGCUAGGAUGUGGCUAUUUAUUUUUAUAAACAAGCCUUGAGCUUAAUAUAGAAAUCUGAUUUUGCUUUUUCUUUCUUCUUUCCAGCAUCAUCUGGCUGUCUGGCACCAUCAAAGAACUGCAUUUCUGACCCAACAGGAGCUCGUGGCUAGAUGGGGGCAGGAAGAAAGUUGGGGAAGAGACCUGUCAGCUGGGCUGCCUCACGGGGAGGGGGAAGCACGUGGCUAUACCACUCGCAUCCUGUUCAGCUUCAGCAUGAGUGUCAUCUGUGACACCUACAUGGUCCUUGCUUGAAACAGGAGGAGGAAAAAAAGCAGCUCUGGUGCUAGCAUCUCUUCUGAUGAGCCCACACCAGAAUACAACAGAAGAGAAGGCAAGGCCACACCAAAGAGGACCCAAGUCAGGUGCCAUAAGCGGGUGACGUCUCAACUCUCUGUCCUUUGGAGGAAGCUAUUUUAAUAGAGCCACUUUACUGCAGCUAUUUUGACAUGUGGAUAUUUUGAUUUGUC
This 1935-nucleotide long non-coding RNA is filed under the name Marmota monax (woodchuck). Lineage: Eukaryota; Metazoa; Chordata; Mammalia; Rodentia; Sciuridae. The record is from RNAcentral.